GAACCUAGGGACAUAAGUGUCAAGUUCCGGAUGCUCAUCUAGUGCCUCAGUAACCUCCUAGUUGUCCCACUUGGCUUCUCUACGCUGGAAAACCACGUCGGUAAGCUCGGGAAAGGCGAAGUCGUAUAUGGCACACUCGGGCUUUAUCCCAAUACGGAAACUACCCGUUUUCAGCUCCCGCCAAGCACUCGCGACGGCUUCGGUAAGCCUAUUGUGCCCUUGCUCGCUUGUGAAAUAGGAAAACUGAAGUUGGUUAUAGCGAUUCGAGCUCACAUAGUAGUUGAUAUAAAGGGUACGAAAUUAUUCCUUGAGGUGGUCGUAGUCUGUAGCAGCCUGGAUCUUCAGUUGCCCGUAAUCCAUAGCUCAUUGGUGGUGAGUUAUCUCCAA
RNAcentral lists this long non-coding RNA (387 nucleotides) under Zostera marina. Its description in RNAcentral is "long non-coding RNA (ZMAR_LNC002526)". Lineage: Eukaryota; Viridiplantae; Streptophyta; Magnoliopsida; Alismatales; Zosteraceae. The record is from RNAcentral.